GGCUCAUGUGCAACAAGGCAGACCUGCAUACAGAAAGUGAACGGAGGAAAUCCUGGUCCAGUUCCCGGAGUCUCUGCCUCUGAGAUGAGGCUAGUAGGCAAGGAACAGACUCUCCUGAGCAUGCAGAUCUCAGCCGCGUACUGAAGAAUCGGAGCAAGGCCUACAGAGGUGCCUAAGUCAGCACCCCGCAUAGCAGAAACUCAAUAAACACAUGGAUGACUGGAUAGUCGGAUGGAUGGAUAAGUGAGAAGGCAGCUUCCUUCUAGCAGAUUCUGGAUGUGUUUGAAAGAAUGAUCCUCCACAGUGCCAUAGGCCAGCAGUUACAACACUCUACCUUUGGAGACAUACAGGCUUGGCUUUGAAUCAUGACACUGCCUUUCACUGGCUAUGAGACCUCAGACACGGUGUAAUUACAGCAAACAUGCAUUGGCGGUGAGCAGCAAUCAUGAGACAACUGUUGAGGAUUUCAGAUGCGCUUGGCGGCGGCUCCUGGAGCGCAGUGCGAGGAACCGCAGCUCCAGUUGGCCCGUGCUGGCCCGAAAACAAGGGAUUUGCAGAAGUCGGGAGCGGUGUGUUGGCACGGUGUCCACGCCAUGUCGUUCAUCAGCUAUUUCCUUGAUAGCGGGUUGCGUCUUACCACCAAGCCAACCGACUGACUUAUGAGUCAGUGACUUAAAAAAUAAAUAAAUACUUGAGGCCAGCUGUGCCUGCCGCGCAAA
Dama dama (fallow deer) is the source of this 719-nucleotide long non-coding RNA. RefSeq lists it as uncharacterized. The record is from RefSeq and is a predicted model, not a curated record. Lineage: Eukaryota; Metazoa; Chordata; Mammalia; Artiodactyla; Cervidae. The transcript is spliced from 3 exons.